RNAcentral lists this ribosomal RNA (542 nucleotides) under uncultured bacterium. RNAcentral's name for it is "bacterial SSU rRNA". It matches the Rfam family "Bacterial small subunit ribosomal RNA", at positions 772 to 1308 of the family's 1533-position model. The record is from RNAcentral.
ACGUAAUAGAUACCCCGGUAGUCCACGCCCUAAACGAUGUCUACUAGUUGUUGGUGGAGUAAAAUCCAUGAGUAAACGCAGCUAAACGCGUGAAGUAGACCGCCUGGGGAGUACGGUCGCAAGAUUAAAACUCAAAGGAAUUGACGGGGGCCCGGCACAAGCGGUGGAUUAUGUGGAUUAAUUCGAUGCAACGCGAAAAACCUUACCUGGCCUUGACAUGCCACUAACGAAGCAGAGAUGCAUUAGGUGCCCGUAAGGGAAAGUGGACACAGGUGCUGCAUGGCUGUCGUCAGCUCGUGUCGUGAGAUGUUGGGUUAAAGUCCCGCAACGAGCGCAACCCUUGCCAUUAAUUGCCAUCAUUUAGUUGGGCACUUUAAUGGGACUGCCGGUGACAAACCGGAGGAAGGUGGGGAUGACGUCAAGUCCUCAUGGCCCUUAUGGCCAGGGCUUCACACGUAAUACAAUGGUCGGUACAGAGAGUUGCCAACCCGCGAGGGGUAGCUAAUCUCAGAAAGCCGAUCGUAGUCCGGAUUGUUCUCUGC